RNAcentral lists this ribosomal RNA (464 nucleotides) under uncultured bacterium. RNAcentral describes it as "bacterial SSU rRNA". It matches the Rfam family "Bacterial small subunit ribosomal RNA", at positions 329 to 792 of the family's 1533-position model. The record is from RNAcentral.
UUCCAGACUCCUACGGGAGGCAGCAGUGAGGAAUAUUGGUCAAUGGGCGAGAGCCUGAACCAGCCAAGUCGCGUGAGGGAGUACUGCCCUAUGGGUUGUAAACCUCUUUUGUCGGGGAGCAAAAGCCGGACGUGUCCGUCUGUGAGAGUACCCGAAGAAAAAGCAUCGGCUAACUCCGUGCCAGCAGCCGCGGUAAUACGGAGGAUGCGAGCGUUAUCCGGAUUUAUUGGGUUUAAAGGGUGCGCAGGCGGAUUUUUAAGUCAGCGGUAAAAUCGUGGGGCUCAACCCCAUCCAGCCGUUGAAACUGGGGAUCUAGAGUGUGCGAGAGGUAUGCGGAAUGCGUGGUGUAGCGGUGAAAUGCAUAGAUAUCACGCAGAACCCCGAUUGCGAAGGCAGCAUACCGGUGCACAACUGACGCUCAGGCACGAAAGCGUGGGUAUCGAACAGGAUUAGAUACCCCAGUA